AUGCAAACACAUGUACUACCAGCCAGUGUCAUUCAUCAGCAUCUCACACAGGGCCAGGGGUGCAGAGGCAGCAUGCUGGUGCCGGUGAGCCGGGCCGCCGCGGCCAUGUACAACUCCAGCGCCGGCAGCGGCGCCUCGCCGGGGAGGCCAUUAAGCAUCGCCUUCAACUUUACCGUGGGGUGCGCCACCCCGGGCGUCAUGAUGGUGGAAAGCUUCACUGUGUCCGCCGACAUGCGCACCACCGAGCGGCUCAUGGUCACCACCACGGUCCUCAUGACACUCCUCGGCACCGCCCUCUUCUUCCUCGGCGUCUUGGGCCGCCUGUCUGGCCGGGGCCGCGGCCACUCCGCCGCCACCCGCAUCUUCUUCCGGGCAUCCUUCGCGCUCUUCCUCCCCUUCAUGUCCUACAUGUUCUCCCAGGCCAAGAGCAAGGGCAACAAGCCACGCGCGCAACUCAUCCUCCUCUGGAUGCUCAUCGUGGAGCUCCUCCGCAAGAAGGUCUAUGCCAUGGUCGCCCCCGCCGGCCUCGCCUUCACACGUGGUGUCACCCGCUAUAGCUCCUUCGACGCCGUAGAGGAGGCCGCGAGCAUGGUGUGGAUCGGCUACCUCGUCUACGCAUACGUCCAUGAUGGUGUCAAGCCCUUCUUCAUCAUCCUUUGGAUCUUCAGUGUCGCCAAGAUGUGCAAGCGUGCUAUCUGCAUCCACCUUGCCAAGCGCUCCUUCGAUCUCGCCAAGAAUGCCGCCCUCGUCUCCGGCUACAUGGCGCAACUCGUCCGCGCGCGCCGACAAUUGUCUAGCGACAGCAACCAACACACUUUGGGAACCAACAUCAUGCGGAGUUGUAACUACCUAGUCAUGGGGGAGAGCCGGCUCAAGAGAGAGCUGACACCCCAUGGCUUUGAGAUCUGCGACCAAGAAAUGAAGAACAUUCUCCCCAACGACGACAGUCCAAAUGAAGACCAUGCGGCCAGCAAGACCGAGUUGAUCCGGGUAUGUAACAUCUGGGACCUCGCCGACAGUGACCACAUAUUUCGGUACAAUGAGAGCAGGAAGCGCAAGCUGGAGGACAUCUGCCUUGCUCUCACACUCUUCAAGCUACUCCGGCGAAAGGUGGAGCACUUCCACAUGGCAGAGGCAGAGACCACACAAGCACGAGAUCUCGUGCUUCAUGGCCUCCUUGCCCUUGAGGACAACCGGGACGAGGCGGCCGGCGCCGAGCGAGCAUUCGAGGUGGUGGAGCUGGAACUCAGAUUCCUUGAUGAGUACUACCAAGCCAUCAUCCCACUAGCAUUGCCCAACCCGGGGAUAUUCAUAGCCAACUUCGUAUUCUCGAUCGUCUUCAUCCUCCUAUAUUGCAUCACCGUGCUCCUUGUAACAGGCAACGGGCACAUCUUCAAGGUGCUAGGCUCUCUCUUCAAGGGGCUCAUCGACCUGUCGAUUGACAUGGUGGUGCAGUACAAGUGCUUCUCCCACCAGAUGAGCUUCCUCUUCAACAUGGUCUGCUCCUCCUCUGAUCUAAUUGUCACCUUCCUGCUCACGCUCACCUUACUCGCCGUCGAGGCAUACGAGUUCAUGCAAUACCUGCUCUCAGACUGGUUCAUCGCAUCCUUGCUCUGCAACUAUGCCCGGAAGCAAAAACCCAUCCAGAAGCAGCUCGUCAAGGGCACCUUGUGGGCGAAGCACCGCUCGCGCCCCGUCAUCAAGGUCCACCAGGUCACCAUGCUCAAGCUCCACCAGCUCCACCCACGCCGAGUGUGGAUGCUCGUGUCCCACCUGCUCAAGAGGCGCCUCGUCGGGCUCCCUGACGCCAUCGUCACCAUCGACGCCAAGAUGGCCAUCGUCAGGGUCUUGAAGGACGUCCUCACACCCAACCAUGGCCGACGCUUCAGCAACGGUAUAGCUGCAUUGGGCAGGCAUGGCUUCACUCACCUUGAGUGGGCGUGUGACGACAAGCUGGGCGGCGCGGGAAUGGUGACCAUGGUGUGGCACAUCGCGACGACGUUGUUUGAGACGAGAGACCGGCAAAAGCACCCACUGCCGCCAUAUGGCCAGGCCGCCCUAACGCUAUCCAGGUAUUGUGCGUACCUGGUGGCCUAUGAGCCGGGGCUCCUCCCGGACGACGAGGCGUGGACGGAGAAGGUGUACAAGGACAUCAAGGGGGAGCUUAACAACUUCUUCAAGAGUUGCUUCACCACCGUGCAACGCCGUAAACGGUUGAUGGUGUUGUGUCCCGCCGAAGAGGAGGGGAAGUCAUCCAUGGCCAAGGGUGUCAAGCUCGGGGAGCAGCUAGAGAAUGGAGCUAGUGGCGGUGACACCAUGCGCGAGGAUGAGAAGGUUUGGGGGAUGCUGCUCGAGUUCUGGGCGGAGCUGCUUGUGUUUGUGGCGCGUAGGUCGGCAGGAGGGCCGGAGGCACACGCGCAUGCGUUGGCCAACGGUGGUGAGUUCAUCACCCACAUCUGGGCCAUGCUCACCCAUGCCGGCGUCCAGGUUCCCAAGCACCAUCAGGAGGAGGACCCAACCCCAUCGCUCCAUCCGGUUUGA
This 2541-nucleotide ribosomal RNA is filed under the name Triticum aestivum (bread wheat). RNAcentral describes it as "partial small subunit ribosomal RNA". Lineage: Eukaryota; Viridiplantae; Streptophyta; Magnoliopsida; Poales; Poaceae. The record is from RNAcentral.